GACGAACGCUGGCGGCGUGCUUAACACAUGCAAGUCGAACGGAAAGGCCCCUUUGGGGGUACUCGAGUGGCGAACGGGUGAGUAACACGUGAGUAACCUGCCCUUGACUUCGGGAUAACUUCAGGAAACUGGGGCUAAUACCGGAUAGGAAUCCUUGCUGCAUGGUGGGGGUUGGAAAGCUUCGGCGGUUUUGGAUGGACUCGCGGCUUAUCAGCUUGUUGGUGGGGUAGUGGCUUACCAAGGCUUUGACGGGUAGCCGGCCUGAGAGGGCGACCGGCCACAUUGGGACUGGGAUACGGCCCAGACUCCUACGGGAGGCAGCAGUGGGGAAGAUUGCACAAUGGGCGGAAGCCUGAUGCAGCAACGCCGCGUGCGGGAUGACGGCCUUCGGGUUGUAAACCGCUUUCAGCAGGGGCGAAGCUUGUGGUGACGGUACCUGCAGAAGAAGCACCGGCUAACUACGUG
RNAcentral lists this ribosomal RNA (465 nucleotides) under uncultured bacterium. RNAcentral's name for it is "partial 16S ribosomal RNA". It matches the Rfam family "Bacterial small subunit ribosomal RNA", at positions 28 to 507 of the family's 1533-position model. The record is from RNAcentral.